GAGGAAUAUGGAUGGCUUAGCCACUAAGCAUGACCAAUAGCCAAAAUAAAAUAGUGGGUUAAAGAUUAAUCGGUCACGGAUUUGAGCUCCAUUUAAGGGUCUGUUGUUAGCCAAUGAGUUGCUGCAUGCACAAGGUAGGGUUCAAACUCUCGACAUUUAUUUAAGCGGACGAGUGAGCUGACCACUUGAUCAACCCAAGUUGGUUUAAAUUUAUUGUUUGUUGAACAUAAAGAUAUACUCUGACUUUCGUGGGCGGGCCUGCGGUAAAUUUACCUAAAUUUCAAAUAAUAAUUAUUAAAAAAACCACAUAAAAUGAAUGUGAACACAUGCAAAAUAUUCAAUGCAAUUAGUCAAUGAGUUUAUGUUAUUAAUUAGUCAAAUGCCGCUACCACCUCUUAGUUCGCUUUUCCGGCUUCUUAGUUGCUUGAAGCAAAAUCAUAUGAGGUUUUUGUUUAUAUAUUCAAACUUAUUAUUAUUACUCUUAUUAUUAUUAUUAUUAAA
Molecule: long non-coding RNA, 501 nt
Organism: Arachis stenosperma
Lineage: Eukaryota; Viridiplantae; Streptophyta; Magnoliopsida; Fabales; Fabaceae
Exons: 2
Source: RefSeq, a predicted model, not a curated record